AUAGUACUCCCUUCGUCUCAAAAUUCUUGUCUUACUUUUUUCUAAAUACGGAUGUAUCAAGUCAUGUUUUAGUAUUAGAUACAUCCGUAUCUAGACAAAUCUAAGACAAGAAUUUUGGGACGGAGGGAGUACUAC
Triticum aestivum (bread wheat) is the source of this 135-nucleotide non-coding RNA. NCBI's taxonomy places the organism in Eukaryota, Viridiplantae, Streptophyta, Magnoliopsida, Poales, Poaceae. The record is from Rfam.